AGUGAACGCUGGCGGUAGGCCUAACACAUGCAAGUCGAACGGCAGCACAGUAAGAGCUUGCUCUUACGGGUGGCGAGUGGCGGACGGGUGAGGAAUACAUCUGAAUCUACUUUUUCGUGGGGGAUAACGUAGGGAAACUUACGCUAAUACCGCAUACGACCUACGGGUGAAAGCAGGGGAUCUUCGGACCUUGCGCGAUUGAAUGAGCCGAUGUCGGAUUAGCUAGUUGGCGGGGUAAAGGCCCACCAAGGCGACGAUCCGUAGCUGGUCUGAGAGGAUGAUCAGCCACACUGGAACUGAGACACGGUCCAGACUCCUACGGGAGGCAGCAGUGGGGAAUAUUGGACAAAGGGCGCAAGCCUGAUCCAGCCAUACCGCGUGGGUGAAGAAGGCCUUCGGGUUGUAAAGCCCUUUUGUUGGGAAAGAAAAGCAGCAGGUUAAUACCCCGCUGUUCUGACGGUACCCAAAGAAUAAGCACCGGCUAACUUCGUG
RNAcentral lists this ribosomal RNA (492 nucleotides) under uncultured bacterium. RNAcentral's name for it is "partial 16S ribosomal RNA". It matches the Rfam family "Bacterial small subunit ribosomal RNA", at positions 29 to 507 of the family's 1533-position model. The record is from RNAcentral.